Molecule: ribosomal RNA, 496 nt
Filed under: uncultured bacterium
Lineage: Bacteria
Description: partial 16S ribosomal RNA
Rfam family: Bacterial small subunit ribosomal RNA
Source: RNAcentral
GAUGAACGCUGGCGGCGUGCCUAAUACAUGCAAGUCGAGCGAACGGACGAGAAGCUUGCUUUUCUGAUGUUAGCGGCGGACGGGUGAGUAACACGUGGAUAACCUACCUAUAAGACUGGGAUAACUUCGGGAAACCGGAGCUAAUACCGGAUAAUAUUUUGAGCCGCAUGGUUCAAAAGUGAAAGACGGUCUUGCUGUCACUUAUAGAUGGAUCCGCGCUGCAUUAGCUAGUUGGUAAGGUAACGGCUUACCAAGGCAACGAUGCAUAGCCGACCUGAGAGGGUGAUCGGCCACACUGGAACUGAGACACGGUCCAGACUCCUACGGGAGGCAGCAGUAGGGAAUCUUCCGCAAUGGGCGAAAGCCUGACGGAGCAACGCCGCGUGAGUGAUGAAGGUCUUCGGAUCGUAAAACUCUGUUAUUAGGGAAGAACAUAUGUGUAAGUAACUGUGCACAUCUUGACGGUACCUAAUCAGAAAGCCACGGCUAACUACGU